AGUGAACGCUGGCGGUAGGCCUAACACAUGCAAGUCGAACGGCAGCACAGUAAGAGCUUGCUCUUACGGGUGGCGAGUGGCGGACGGGUGAGGAAUACAUCGGAAUCUACUUUUUCGUGGGUGAUAACGUAGGGAAACUUACGCUAAUACCUCAUACGACCUACGGGUGAAAGCAGGGGAUCUUCGGACCUUGCGCGAUUGAAUGAGCCGAUGUCGGAUUAGCUAGUUGGCGGGGUAAAGGCCCACCAAGGCGACGAUCCGUAGCUGGUCUGAGAGGAUGAUCAGCCACACUGGAACUGGGACACGGACCAGACUCCUACGGGAGGCAGCAGUGGGGAAUAUUGGACAAUGGGCGCAAGCCUGAUCCAGCCAUACCGCGUGGGUGAAGAAGGCCUUCGGGUUGUAAAGCCCUUUUGUUGGGAAAGAAAAGCAGCAGGUUAAUACCCCGCUGUUCUGACGGUACCCAAAGAAUAAGCACCGGCUAACUUCGUG
RNAcentral lists this ribosomal RNA (492 nucleotides) under uncultured bacterium. Its description in RNAcentral is "partial 16S ribosomal RNA". It matches the Rfam family "Bacterial small subunit ribosomal RNA", at positions 29 to 507 of the family's 1533-position model. The record is from RNAcentral.